Molecule: ribosomal RNA, 121 nt
Filed under: uncultured bacterium
Lineage: Bacteria
Description: partial 16S ribosomal RNA
Rfam family: Bacterial small subunit ribosomal RNA
Source: RNAcentral
CCUACGGGAGGCAGCAGUGGGGAAUAUUGCACAAUGGGCGCAAGCCUGAUCCAGCCAUGCCGCGUGUAUGAAGAAGGCNUUCGGGUNGUAAAGUANUUUCAGCGGGGAGGAAGGAGAUNCG